RNAcentral lists this small RNA (124 nucleotides) under Marmota monax (woodchuck). Lineage: Eukaryota; Metazoa; Chordata; Mammalia; Rodentia; Sciuridae. The record is from RNAcentral.
GCCGGGCGCGGUGGCGCAAGCCUAUAAUCCCAGUGGUUAGGAGGCUGAGACAGGAGAAUCGCGAGUUCAAAGCCAGCCUCAGCAAUGGCGAGGCCCUAAGCAGUUCAGUGAGACCCUGUCUCUA